UACGUAGGGCGCAAACGUUGCUCGGAAUCAUUGGGCGUAAAGCGCACGUAGGCGGCCUGUUAAGUCGGAUGUGAAAGCCCCGGGCUCAACCCGGGAAGUGCAUUCGAAACUGGCGGGCUUGAAUAUGGAAGAGGGUCGCGGAAUUCCCGGUGUAGAGGUGAAAUUCGUAGAUAUCGGGAGGAACACCAGUGGCGAAGGCGGCGACCUGGGCCAAUAUUGACGCUGAGGUGCGAAAGCGUGGGGAGCAAACAGG
Molecule: ribosomal RNA, 253 nt
Filed under: uncultured bacterium
Lineage: Bacteria
Description: partial 16S ribosomal RNA
Rfam family: Bacterial small subunit ribosomal RNA
Source: RNAcentral